This 77-nucleotide transfer RNA is filed under the name Mycobacterium terrae. RNAcentral describes it as "Mycolicibacter terrae tRNA-Arg". It matches the Rfam family "tRNA". Rfam says of the family: Transfer RNA (tRNA) molecules are approximately 80 nucleotides in length. The record is from RNAcentral. Lineage: Bacteria; Bacillati; Actinomycetota; Actinomycetes; Mycobacteriales; Mycobacteriaceae. RNAcentral also lists the same sequence under 1 other name.
GCCUCCGUAGCUCAGGUGGAUAGAGCGCAUGACUUCUAAUCUUGUGGUCGCAGGUUCGAGUCCUGCCGGGGGCGCCG